Paramuricea clavata is the source of this 478-nucleotide non-coding RNA. NCBI's taxonomy places the organism in Eukaryota, Metazoa, Cnidaria, Anthozoa, Malacalcyonacea, Plexauridae. The record is from the annotation of a GenBank genome assembly.
UCCAAGAAUCCUUGAUAAGCAAUUUUAUGAUCGGCCUCAAAACUUCUAAAUCGUUCACCCGUCGCCUUCACAGAAUACACGUAACUCGGUGGGCAAGAGAAAAACGCUUCAGCUACGGACUCGAGCGGAUCUUCUAAUCCCCAAUGAAACAAAUAGUUCAGUAUACAUUGUAGUUCGUGGUUCUCAGUGUUCUGAUGUAGUUCCAUCAAUGAAUCGACAAACGUUCGAUCGCUUGUAAACCAUACAUUUGCCAUCGUUCGUUUUCGUUCAUCAUGGGGCAGUCAUGUUGCCUUUAACUAGGAUGACCGACUUGACAACCAUUACAGGAUUCCACACAAAGUCUUUCAACUUCUUGUGCGACUGCAUUCGCAUAUAUUCCUUCCAAUAAAUUGUAAGAUGUGGCUUUUCCAUGCAGACACUCCAUCGUAUGGCUUUCACAACGAAAUGGCAAUAUAGCUAUAGCAAGCGUUGUCUUUUG